Molecule: long non-coding RNA, 304 nt
Filed under: Phoenix dactylifera (date palm)
Lineage: Eukaryota; Viridiplantae; Streptophyta; Magnoliopsida; Arecales; Arecaceae
Description: long non-coding RNA (PDAC_LNC021732)
Source: RNAcentral
UGCUUCUCUGAAGCCUAGGACUCUUAACCAGUCCAGAACUUUAUUUACUGCUAGACAGGUACCUUGUGCUUUUGACUAUAAAGUUUUUGAGUUUUUCUCUAAGCUGCUUAUUUUUUUAUAUGAUAUCAUAUAGAGGUCUUAAUGUUAUUGAUCGCUGCAGAUUGAUAUUUGGAGGUUUUGCUAAAGAUAUCUCUUAUUUCUUAUGACUUUCCCUGCUAGUUUGACAUGCUUGUUGAGUAUCCAACUCUCUGAUAAAGAGAUGCUUAAAGUGUAUCUCUUAUUUCUUAAUGUUAUCAACUCUCUG